AUGGCGGAGGCCGCAAUCACGGCGGUGCUUUCCAAGCUCGCGGAGCUCGCGAUCAGCGAAGCCCAGUCGUUGCGUCAGGUCCGCACAGAAAUCAUACUGCUGCGCGACCGGCUGGAGUGGCUGCGGGCCGUUGUCCGUGAGGCCGACCAGCAACGCCGGGCCGGCACUGGCGGACUGACCCUCCUGUGGGUGAGCCAGACGCGCGAAGUUGCCUUCCACGCGGAGGAUGCGAUCGACGACUUCUUCCACGAGGAGGAUGAGGUGCGUCCUGUGGUUCCCUGCUAG
Molecule: ribosomal RNA, 285 nt
Filed under: Triticum aestivum (bread wheat)
Lineage: Eukaryota; Viridiplantae; Streptophyta; Magnoliopsida; Poales; Poaceae
Description: partial small subunit ribosomal RNA
Source: RNAcentral